This 909-nucleotide ribosomal RNA is filed under the name Cytobacillus horneckiae. Its description in RNAcentral is "bacterial SSU rRNA". It matches the Rfam family "Bacterial small subunit ribosomal RNA", at positions 61 to 951 of the family's 1533-position model. Lineage: Bacteria; Bacillati; Bacillota; Bacilli; Caryophanales; Bacillaceae. The record is from RNAcentral.
GUCGAGCGAAUCUGAGGGAGCUUGCUCCCAAAGAUUAGCGGCGGACGGGUGAGUAACACGUGGGCAACCUGCCUGUAAGACUGGGAUAACUUCGGGAAACCGGAGCUAAUACCGGAUAAUCCCUUUCCUCACAUGAGGAAAGGCUGAAAGACGGCGUCUAGCUGUCACUUACAGAUGGGCCCGCGGCGCAUUAGCUAGUUGGUGAGGUAACGGCUCACCAAGGCCACGAUGCGUAGCCGACCUGAGAGGGUGAUCGGCCACACUGGGACUGAGACACGGCCCAGACUCCUACGGGAGGCAGCAGUAGGGAAUCUUCCGCAAUGGACGAAAGUCUGACGGAGCAACGCCGCGUGAGUGAUGAAGGUUUUCGGAUCGUAAAACUCUGUUGUUAGGGAAGAACAAGUAUCGGAGUAACUGCCGGUACCUUGACGGUACCUAACCAGAAAGCCACGGCUAACUACGUGCCAGCAGCCGCGGUAAUACGUAGGUGGCAAGCGUUGUCCGGAAUUAUUGGGCGUAAAGCGCGCGCAGGUGGUUCCUUAAGUCUGAUGUGAAAGCCCACGGCUCAACCGUGGAGGGUCAUUGGAAACUGGGGAACUUGAGUGCAGAAGAGGAAAGUGGAAUUCCAAGUGUAGCGGUGAAAUGCGUAGAGAUUUGGAGGAACACCAGUGGCGAAGGCGACUUUCUGGUCUGUAACUGACACUGAGGCGCGAAAGCGUGGGGAGCGAACAGGAUUAGAUACCCUGGUAGUCCACGCCGUAAACGAUGAGUGCUAAGUGUUAGAGGGUUUCCGCCCUUUAGUGCUGCAGCAAACGCAUUAAGCACUCCGCCUGGGGAGUACGACCGCAAGGUUGAAACUCAAAGGAAUUGACGGGGGCCCGCACAAGCGGUGGAGCAUGUGGUUUAAUU